This 427-nucleotide ribosomal RNA is filed under the name uncultured bacterium. RNAcentral describes it as "partial 16S ribosomal RNA". It matches the Rfam family "Bacterial small subunit ribosomal RNA", at positions 355 to 774 of the family's 1533-position model. The record is from RNAcentral.
UGGGGAAUAUUGGACAAUGGGCGAAAGCCUGAUCCAGCCAUGCCGCGUGUGUGAAGAAGGUCUUCGGAUUGUAAAGCACUUUAAGCUGGGAGGAAGGGCAUUAACCUAAUACGUUAGUGUUUUGACGUUACCGACAGAAUAAGCACCGGCUAACUCUGUGCCAGCAGCCGCGGUAAUACAGAGGGUGCAAGCGUUAAUCGGAAUUACUGGGCGUAAAGCGCGCGUAGGUGGUUUGUUAAGUUGGAUGUGAAAGCCCCGGGCUCAACCUGGGAACUGCAUCCAAAACUGGCAAGCUAGAGUACGGUAGAGGGUGGUGGAAUUUCCUGUGUAGCGGUGAAAUGCGUAGAUAUAGGGAGGAACACCAGUGACGAAGGCGACCACCUGGACUGAUACUGACACUGAGGUGCGAAAGCGUGGGGAGCAAACA